Molecule: ribosomal RNA, 160 nt
Filed under: Buellia arborea
Lineage: Eukaryota; Fungi; Ascomycota; Lecanoromycetes; Caliciales; Caliciaceae
Description: 5.8S ribosomal RNA
Rfam family: 5.8S ribosomal RNA
About the family: 5.8S ribosomal RNA (5.8S rRNA) is a component of the large subunit of the eukaryotic ribosome. It is transcribed by RNA polymerase I as part of the 45S precursor that also contains 18S and 28S rRNA.
Source: RNAcentral
AAAACUUUCAACAACGGAUCUCUUGGUUCUGGCAUCGAUGAAGAACGCAGCGAAAUGCGAUAAGUAAUGUGAAUUGCAGAAUUCAGUGAAUCAUCGAAUCUUUGAACGCACAUUGCGCCCUCUGGUACUCCGGGGGGCAUGCCUGUUCGGAGCGUCAUUG